This is a long non-coding RNA of Hyla sarda, 211 nucleotides long. RefSeq lists it as uncharacterized. NCBI's taxonomy places the organism in Eukaryota, Metazoa, Chordata, Amphibia, Anura, Hylidae. The transcript is spliced from 3 exons. The record is from RefSeq and is a predicted model, not a curated record.
CUCCAGCCUACACCAGAAGUGGUGUCCUGUCCUGGAGAUGGUGGUGAACUUUUUGAAACAGCGACACCUGCUGGUUAAUGGUCCUUAAAUAGCAGGAGACAGAGAGGAACCAAGGAAUUAAAUUGGUUCAUAUGCUGGACCACCAGGAAUACAGACACGGUUACUUCUGGGGAGCCAACAAAGUAGUAUAAGCCACCACCAGCCACCACCA